This 492-nucleotide ribosomal RNA is filed under the name uncultured bacterium. RNAcentral describes it as "partial 16S ribosomal RNA". It matches the Rfam family "Bacterial small subunit ribosomal RNA", at positions 29 to 507 of the family's 1533-position model. The record is from RNAcentral.
AGUGAACGCUGGCGGUAGGCCUAACACAUGCAAGUCGAACGGCAGCACAGUAAGAGCUUGCUCUUACGGGUGGCGAGUGGCGGACGAGUGAGGAAUACAUCGGAAUCUACUUUUUCGUGGGGGAUAACGUAGGGAAACUUACGCUAAUACCGCAUACGACCUACGGGUGAAAGCAGGGGAUCUUCGGACCUUGCGCGAUUGAAUGAGCCGAUGUCGGAGUAGCUAGUUGGCGGGGUAAAGGCCCACCAAGGCGACGAUCCGUAGCUGGUCUGAGAGGAUGAUCGGCCACACUAGAACUGAGACACGGUCCAGACUCCUACGGGAGGCAGCAGUGGGGAAUAUUGGACAAUGGGCGCAAGCCUGAUCCAGCCAUACCGCGUGGGUGAAGAAGGCCUUCGGGUUGUAAAGCCCUUUUGUUGGGAAAGAAAAGCAGCAGGUUAAUACCCCGCUGUUCUGACGGUACCCAAAGAAUAAGCACCGGCUAACUUCGUG